Molecule: ribosomal RNA, 450 nt
Filed under: uncultured bacterium
Lineage: Bacteria
Description: partial 16S ribosomal RNA
Rfam family: Bacterial small subunit ribosomal RNA
Source: RNAcentral
GUCGAGAAUAAUUCACAAUGGACGAAAGUCUGGUGGUGCAACGCCGCGUGGAGGAUGACGGUCUUCGGAUUGUAAACUCCUGUCAUCCGGGAGUAAGACCUGGCUGUGAAUAGCAGACAGGGUUGAUAGUACCGGAAGAGGAAGGGACGGCUAACUUCGUGCCAGCAGCCGCGGUAAUACGAAGGUCCCGAGCGUUGUUCGGAAUCACUGGGCGUAAAGGGAGCGUAGGCGGCGUGGUAAGUCAGAUGUGAAAUCCCGGGGCUCAACCCCGGAACUGCAUCCGAUACUGCCGUGCUAGAGGAUUGGAGAGGUAGCUGGAAUUCUUGGUGUAGCAGUGAAAUGCGUGGAUAUCGAGAGGAACACUCGUGGCGAAGGCGAGUUACUGGACAGCAUCUGACGCUGAGGCACGAAGGCCAGGGGAGCGAAAGGGAUUAGAUACCCCGGUAGUCC